CCUACGGGAGGCAGCAGUGAGGAAUAUUGGACAAUGGGCGCAAGCCUGAUCCAGCCAUGCCGCGUGCAGGAAGACGGUCCUAUGGAUUGUAAACUGCUUUUGUACAGGAAGAAACACUCCCUCGUGAGGGAGCUUGACGGUACUGUAAGAAUAAGGAUCGGCUAACUCCGUGCCAGCAGCCGCGGUAAUACGGAGGAUCCAAGCGUUAUCCGGAAUCAUUGGGUUUAAAGGGUCCGUAGGCGGUUUAAUAAGUCAGUGGUGAAAUCUGGUCGCUCAACGAUCAAACGGCCAUUGAUACUGUUAGACUUGAAUUAUUAGGAAGUAACUAGAAUAUGUAGUGUAGCGGUGAAAUGCUUAGAUAUUACAUGGAAUACCAAUUGCGAAGGCAGGUUACUACUAAUGGAUUGACGCUGAUGGACGAAAGCGUUGGGGAGCGAACAGGAUUAGAUACCCUGGUAGUCCACGCCGUAAACGAUGGAUACUAGCUGUUCGGUAGACAUACUGUAGUGGUGUAGACGAAGUAGUAGUAAGUAGUACCUACCGU
Molecule: ribosomal RNA, 544 nt
Filed under: uncultured bacterium
Lineage: Bacteria
Description: bacterial SSU rRNA
Rfam family: Bacterial small subunit ribosomal RNA
Source: RNAcentral